Molecule: ribosomal RNA, 500 nt
Filed under: uncultured bacterium
Lineage: Bacteria
Description: partial 16S ribosomal RNA
Rfam family: Bacterial small subunit ribosomal RNA
Source: RNAcentral
AUUGAACGCUGGCGGAAUGCUUUACACAUGCAAGUCGAACGGCAGCACGGACUUCGGUCUGGUGGCGAGUGGCGAACGGGUGAGUAAUGUAUCGGAACGUGCCCAGUCGUGGGGGAUAACGUUGUGAAAAUUACGCUAAUACCGCAUACGAUCUAUGGAUGAAAGCGGGGGAUCGCAAGACCUCGCGCGAUUGGAGCGGCCGAUAUCAGAUUAGGUAGUUGGUGGGGGAAAGGCCCACCAGGCCCACGAUCUGUAGCUGGUCUGAGAGGACGACCCGCCACACUGGACCUGAGACACGGGCCAGACUCCUGCGGGAGGCAGCAGUGGGGAAUUUUGGACAAGGGGCGAAAGCCUGAUCCAGCCAUUCCGCGUGCAGGAUGAAGGCCCUCGGGUUGUAAACUGCUUUUGGACAGAACGAAAAGGUUUCUACUAAUACUAGGAGCUCAUGACGGUACUGUAAGAAUAAGCACCGGCUAACUACGUGCCAGCCGCCGCAGUAA